AGAGUUUGAUCCUGGCUCAGAAUCAACGCUGGCGCGCGCCUAACACAUGCAAGUCGAACGAGAAAGGGGAGCAAUCCCUGAGUACAGUGGCGUACGGGUGAGUAACACGUGGAUGAUCUGCCCCUUAGUGGGGAAUAACCCUGGGAAACCGGGGCUAAUACCGCAUAAGCUCGAGAGAGGAAAGCAGCAAUGCGCUGAGG
RNAcentral lists this ribosomal RNA (200 nucleotides) under uncultured bacterium. Its description in RNAcentral is "partial 16S ribosomal RNA". It matches the Rfam family "Bacterial small subunit ribosomal RNA", at positions 8 to 223 of the family's 1533-position model. The record is from RNAcentral.